GCAAGUGCCAUCUGGCGGCCGCUGAAGCAAGUACAAAAAUGACAUGGCUGACUGUGUCGUUAGUGUGUGCUUGGUCGUGCUUGUGUAACUAAACCGCUAUUUUAGACUAAAGAGCAGUAUAAUCGAAUCUACAUCUACCAACAACUCCAAAACCAACAAAAAACAGCUGCAAAAAUCAAACAACACUCAUCAAUAUUGUUUCUUUGAAGAAUCACAACUGGAAAAAUACUCAACAAUUUUUACCAAAAAAAGGAAGACGACAAAAAAGC
Long non-coding RNA from Anopheles maculipalpis, 269 nucleotides. RefSeq lists it as uncharacterized. The record is from RefSeq and is a predicted model, not a curated record. Lineage: Eukaryota; Metazoa; Arthropoda; Insecta; Diptera; Culicidae. The transcript has 2 exons.